This 655-nucleotide long non-coding RNA is filed under the name Trifolium pratense (red clover). RNAcentral describes it as "long non-coding RNA (TPRA_LNC012436)". The record is from RNAcentral. Lineage: Eukaryota; Viridiplantae; Streptophyta; Magnoliopsida; Fabales; Fabaceae.
UACGCUCUCAAGUAUCCGUUCGUGUAGUUGUGCGCGUAAAACUCGCAGUCCAAAACCAGAAAUUGACAGCAUCAGAACCUCAAUUCAGAAGCGUGUCCCAACUUCAAUAUUGGUCGAAAUUAUACGAGAUUGACGCCCAAACGACGGGAAUUUCGUCGGCUUUCCAGACAUGUAAAUACCGUUCAAAACUGGGUUAUGGUUUGACAAAUACAGCUCAAUUACUGGACAUAGGUCUAUACGAAAUUAUGCAGAAUUUCUUACCUUCCAACAAAUCUUUUACUUCCAACUCCUGAGCUUAAUGCUUCCAUCAGCACCCAAGUCCUCUUAAUCCUUCCAAACCUUAACUUAGUUACUUAUCUUUCUAUUGAUUGAAAAUGGUGGAUUCAAGCCUUAAUUCACGCAUGCAUGCUUCAUUUGGAAGAGAAUUAACUUGUCCCACUUACAUGGUGUUUUUAACCUUGACAGAGGAUGAAGAAAGAAUCCGGGCUGAAACUCGUGUCCACCAUGUUCCAACGGUGAUGGGUUGAGAGAAAAUGUGCAUGCAAGACUUGUGGGUUGAAGGAUUUAGGAGAAAUUGAAAAAUGGAGUUUUUGAGUGAUGGAGGGAGUGGUUCGGUUCUGGACAGAUGAGAAGGAAGGAGUCUUGUGAUUUUCUG